AGUGAUGACUUCCAAGGGAAAAUGAUGGUCCUAAAAAUGGAGGAUUACAGGUUAGGGAAGGUUGGGCUUAUACGGCUAAGAUACCAGUAAAAGAUUGAUGCGCGGACUUCUAGUUUUGGGAAGAUGGGACGAAAAGAAAUAAUGGAUAGAGGAAUCGAACACCGUCUUCCGGGGAUGCAAGACGAGCUUCUCUCCGAGCACGUCGGCGGAGUUAUUUGGGUAGAGAGACAUCGCGGGGCACAGUGGCAAGGAAGGAGUUGGUGCCUCUGACAUCUGCGAGUGGAGUUAUGUUUGCCGAACGAUAUUUCGGAGGAGAGGUUGGCUCCACGGAGAUUCGAGAACAGUCGAAAGCAUGAUAAGGACUGAAGAAGACUAAAUUGGGAUCAAAAUCCUGGGAUAUUUUAGCCUCCUGAAGAGCUCGCGAGCCUGUUUGAUUGACAGCUGCCACCUGAGAGUCCUGAAAGAGCUCCCCUUAACCCUCGGUUGCCACAUCAUGAAGAUUCAACCUCCGCACUGAUAUUUUUCUGUAGAAGAGUGGUCUUCAAAACGGACGCUUGCCUCACGCUGACAUAGCCGUGAAGGGGACGUUGAGAGUGUCUUAUAAUUUACCCAUUAAAACAAAUCCAACAGCGCUUGAU
Long non-coding RNA from Ornithorhynchus anatinus (platypus), 638 nucleotides. RefSeq lists it as uncharacterized. NCBI's taxonomy places the organism in Eukaryota, Metazoa, Chordata, Mammalia, Monotremata, Ornithorhynchidae. The record is from RefSeq and is a predicted model, not a curated record. The transcript is spliced from 3 exons.